Molecule: ribosomal RNA, 635 nt
Filed under: uncultured fungus
Lineage: Eukaryota; Fungi
Description: eukaryotic LSU rRNA
Rfam family: Eukaryotic large subunit ribosomal RNA
Source: RNAcentral
AUAUCAAUAAGCGGAGGAAAAGAAACUAACAAGGAUUCCCCUAGUAACUGCGAGUGAAGCGGGAAAAGCUCAAAUUUAAAAUCUGGCAGAUGCUUGUCUGUCCGAGUUGUAACCUAGAGAAGUGUAACCUGUGCUGGACCAUGUACAAGUCUCCUGGAAUGGAGCAUCAUAGAGGGUGAGAAUCCCGUCUUUGACAUGGACUACCAGUGCACUGUGGUUGUGCACUCGACGAGUCGAGUUGUUUGGGAAUGCAGCUCUAAAUGGGUGGUAAAUUCCAUCUAAAGCUAAAUAUUGGCGAGAGACCGAUAGCGAACAAGUACCGUGAGGGAAAGAUGAAAAGAACUUUGGAAAGAGAGUUAAACAGUAUGUGAAAUUGUUGAAAGGGAAACGCUUGAAGUCAGCUGCAUUGGCUGGGGAUCAAGCCAGCUUAUUUGCUGGCUGUACUUCCUGGUUGAUGGGCCAACAUCAAUUUUGCCCCUCGGAUAAUGGCAGGGGAAAGGUGGCACCUUUGCGGGUGUGUUAUAGUCUCCCGUCGCAUGCGAGGGGUGGGAUUGAGGAACUCAGCACGCGCCUCUCGGCUCGGGGCUUCGGCCCACGUUACGUGCUUAGGAUGUUGGCGUAAUGGCUCUAAACGA